This 254-nucleotide ribosomal RNA is filed under the name uncultured bacterium. RNAcentral describes it as "partial 16S ribosomal RNA". It matches the Rfam family "Bacterial small subunit ribosomal RNA", at positions 524 to 776 of the family's 1533-position model. The record is from RNAcentral.
UACGAAGGGGGCUAGCGUUGUUCGGAAUUACUGGGCGUAAAGCGCGCGCAGGCGGCCUUCCAAGUCAGGGGUGAAAUCCCAGAGCUCAACUCUGGAAUUGCCUCUGAGACUGUGAGGCUUCGAGUACGGAAGAGGUGAGUGGAAUUCCCAGUGUAGAGGUGAAAUUCGUAGAUAUUGGGAAGAACACCGGUGGCGAAGGCGGCUCACUGGUCCGUUACUGACGCUCAUGCGCGACAGCGUGGGGAUCAAACAGG